GCCUGCCUGGCCUAAACCUAGUAGUUAAAAAUCAACUCGUAACUUAGACACGGAUGUUAUUCGUAGAUUCCAGACGUUGUAUAAAAAACAUUGUGAAACUCCCUGCCCUGUUCUGUUUCUCUCUGAUCACCCGUGCAUGCAGCCCCUGUCACGUACUGCCUGCUUGCUCAAAUCAAUCACCACCCUUUCAUGUGAAAUCUUUAGUGUUGUGAGCCCUUAAAAGGGACAGAAAUCGUGCAUUCGGGGAGCUCGGAUUUUAAGGCAGUAGCUUGUCGAUGCUCCCAGCUGAAUAAAGCCCUUCCUUCUACAACUCUGAGAGUUGUCUGAGAGGUUUUGUCUGUGGCUCAUCCUGCUCCAUUUCUUGGUUCCCUAACCGGGAAGCGAGAUGACUGAUGGUCGGCCAAGGCAGCCUCUUAGGCGGCUUAAGCCUGCCCUGUGGAGCAUCCCUGCAGGGGACUCUGGCCAGCCUGAGUGACGCAAUCCAAAGAGCGCUCCAGGAAGCAGGGUCAGCUUCUUCAAAGGAUCACAAUCCAUCCCCACUGUGAACUAGCAGCAGAGCCCUGCAUGUAACUCAGAGGAGAGGAAAGUAAAACAUUACUGAUAUCCAAGCAAGGCAGUCAAUCUUCUGAGGUAAGCCAUAUUCUGAUGUAAAUGGGAGAAUAAUAAUUUAUAAGCAUUGAUUAUUUAACCCAAGAAUUCAGUCUUAGAGUAUAGUUGGCUGGAAUAGAAAUUAUCCAAGUAACUAAGUUCUGACUAAAGUGGAUCCAGGCCUGAAAUUAAUGAAGAAGGCAUCAAUGAUUCAUCUUGACACAACUUUUAAUCUCAUUCAGAGUAAGCUCAAUUUAAUGCCAAAAUUCUCACAACAGGCCCCCAAAAGCUCACUGGCCCUGACAUAUCGAGUGCCUCUACUUGAGUGUUGAAUGGAUAGAGAAUUAAAAAGUUAUUGCUCUACUGAACACUUACAGCUAUAUACUCUUAGUAAUCUCCCGUUCCAUUCCCCAAUCAGAUCACCACAUGCAUUUAGUAACUUGCAGCAAUUUUUAGAUUAAUUUUUGAAGCCAUUCUUACAGAUGCACUUGGUAUAUUUAAUGAAGAGCUUUUCUAUAAGAUCAUAAUUUUAUCAUGACAUGAAUCCAGUGUUCUUGUUAGAUUUGUAAACCCACCUUUGUAUCACUUUAAUUGAUUCUUUCAUUUAUUCCCACGAUGUUGCUAGGUAGAGUGUAAACCACAUAGUGAGAGUGAAAAAUUCUUUGGCUACUUGAUAUUCUGAAGCAAAUAUUGACCCUGCAUCCAUUGAGAACUAAAUAUAGAUUACAUUCAAAGAUAUUUCUAGUGUGUUAAGACAUAGAAAAAGAUUUUUAAAAACGUAAUAUGCAACAGAAAAAAUGGUUACUCUAUCCAUUCACUUUUGCAGAUAUGUUUUCAAGGUCCGUUUGUCACUUUAAAGCAAUACUAAUUUGAACAAUAAUUUAGAUCUUUGAAAGACUGGUUACAACUACAUCAGACAGAUUUAUAAGGUAUUAAAUGAUGAGGAUGUAAAAAAUAUGCAUGGUUAAGAACUGCUAGUACAAUAUAGAAUAGUAGGUAUAAUAACCACCUUGUCUUAUUCCUAAAUUUAAUAGUGAUACUUCCAGAAUUCACUAUGAGACAUGUUUGGUACAGCUGUUGAGAGGUAAGUUGAAUACUAUGUAGAUAUUUCAAGUGUUUAAUAUGAUGAAACUUAAUAUAUGCAUAAACCCAUGUUACUACCAUCCCAAUUAAGAUAUAGAACAUUUCAAUCAUUCCAGAAACUUUACAUCUAGUCCUUCUAAUCAAUUCCUUAAACAGGAAACAACUUAUUAUUACUUUAUUUUAUUACUAUAGAUUAAGUAAUAUGUCUUAUUUUAUUGCAAUAGAUCAUUUUUGCUAUUCAAAAAUUUAAUUAUAAGUGAAUCAUGCACUAUGACUUUAUAAUAUCAAUGUCUUAUGUUCAACAUGAUAUUUUUGAGAUUCAUCUACAUGGCAGAUGCCAAUUUGCUCUUUAUAUCCAACUAGGUCCCAUGCACACCCUAAGCCAAUAAACAUUUCAAACAAAAAAUCAUGAAUCAAAUCAUGGAUUCUUCAAGCUAAGGAAAAUGAAAUUGCUUUGCUGAGUGCAAUGCAUGAAAUGUAAUUGCUUUGACCCUUUAAGAUACAACAGUGAAGCUGAGGAUAGUUCUUGAAAAUAUAUUGCAGGUACCUGAUGGAGAGAGCUGCAAGAUGACCACCUUGCAAGGUUCAACGCGCUGUGUGGGGGUUGCAACUGUAAUCAGAACAUGACAUGGUUCUGCACAAGUGAACCCAUAGUCUACUAGUGAAAUAGACUAACUAAUAUGUUAAGAAGCAUAAUGAGAUAUUCUAUAAUUGAUAUCUAGAAAAAGUUAUAUGGCACCCAAAAAAGAGAUAACUAUUUACCUGAGUGUUUUCAGGGUUAGCCUUUGAAUGAAGGAAUGAGUUGAAACAAUAAUGGAAAGAUAGUAGGUAUAAACUAAGCUAUAUUGCUAAUUAAGUUAAAUAUAGAUAAACUGAAUGCAUGAAUUGUCAGCAAUUACAAGACUGGAUAAAACAGUAAUCUCCCAGCAACAAGCAAGAGAGUCCUAUAGAAGACCUGACAACAAUGAUGAAUGAGGACAGAGACAGAAAACACUGUGAUCCUUGAUGUUAUCAUUGAAUCACUUGAAUCCUGCUUUGACAUUGACUUCCAAGUAUGUGAUACAAUUAACUGCCUUAAUGGUUUAAGGCACUUGGAAGGGCUUUUGGUGCUCUUGCAAUUGAAACCAUUACAACAUAACACACAUAGAAAGAGUAUCCGUUAAAAAUUUUUUGAAAGAAAAGAAGAAUGAAGGAAGGAAGAAAGGAAGGAAGGAGAGAAGGAAGAAAAGAAAGAAAGGAAGGAAGAAAAGAAGUCUCAAGAACUCAGAUGUCUUGAUUUAUACUAGUUGAAAAAUGGCCAAACAACUUAUCUGCACCAUGAAUUACGUAUAUAU
RNAcentral lists this long non-coding RNA (3005 nucleotides) under Homo sapiens (human). Its description in RNAcentral is "HSALNT0252820". The record is from RNAcentral. Lineage: Eukaryota; Metazoa; Chordata; Mammalia; Primates; Hominidae.